AUUGAACGCUGGCGGAAUGCUUUACACAUGCAAGUCGAACGGCAGCAUAGGUGCUUGCACCUGAUGGCGAGUGGCGAACGGGUGAGUAAUACAUCGGAACGUGCCCAGUCGGGGGGGAUAACGUAGCGAAAGUUACGCUAAUACCGCAUACGAUCUAAGGAUGAAAGAGGGGGACCGUAAGGCCUCGCGCGAUUGGAGCGGCCGACGUCAGAUUAGGUAGUUGGUGAGGUAAAGGCUCACCAGGCCGACGAUCUGUAGCUGGUCUGAGAGGACGACCAGCCACACUGGGACUGAGACACGGCCCAGACUCCUACGGGAGGCAGCAGUGGGGAAUUUUGGACAAUGGACGCAAGUCUGAUCCAGCCAUUCCGCGUGCAGGACGAAGGCCUUCGGGUUGUAAACUGCUUUUGUACGGAACGAAAAAGCUCUUACUAAUACUAGGAGUCCAUGACGGUACCGUAAGAAUAAGCACCGGCUAACUACGUGCCAGCAGCCGCCGCCG
RNAcentral lists this ribosomal RNA (502 nucleotides) under uncultured bacterium. RNAcentral's name for it is "partial 16S ribosomal RNA". It matches the Rfam family "Bacterial small subunit ribosomal RNA", at positions 30 to 523 of the family's 1533-position model. The record is from RNAcentral.